Molecule: ribosomal RNA, 604 nt
Filed under: uncultured bacterium
Lineage: Bacteria
Description: bacterial SSU rRNA
Rfam family: Bacterial small subunit ribosomal RNA
Source: RNAcentral
CCUACGGGAGGCAGCAGUGGGGAAUAUUGCACAAUGGGCGAAAGCCUGAUGCAGCGACGCCGCGUGAGGGACGACGGCCUUCGGGUUGUAAACCUCUUUCAGCAGGGACGAAGCGCAAGUGACGGUACCUGCAGAAGAAGCACCGGCUAACUACGUGCCAGCAGCCGCGGUAAUACGUAGGGUGCAAGCGUUGUCCGGAAUUACUGGGCGUAAAGAGUUCGUAGGCGGUUUGUCACGUCGUUUGUGAAAAACUCACAGCUCAACUGUGAGCCUGCAGGCGAUACGGGCAGACUUGAGUACUGCAGGGGAGACUGGAAUUCCUGGUGUAGCGGUGAAACGCGCAGAUAUCAGGAGGAACACCGGUGGCGAAGGCGGGUCUCUGGGCAGUAACUGACGCUGAGGAACGAAAGCGUGGGUAGCGAACAGGAUUAGAUACCCUGGUAGUCCACGCCGUAAACGGUGGGCGCUAGGUGUGGGUUCCUUCCACGGAAUCCGUGCCGUAGCUAACGCAUUAAGCGCCCGCCUGGGGAGUACGGCCGCGAAGGCUAAAACGUUAAAGAGUAAGUGACGNGNGAGAGCGACGACGCGACGACGGAGGGAGGAG